This is a microRNA precursor of Gossypium arboreum, 130 nucleotides long. It matches the Rfam family "mir-399 microRNA precursor family". From Rfam's summary of the family: mir-399 was identified in both Arabidopsis thaliana and Oryza sativa computationally and was later experimentally verified. mir-399 is thought to target mRNAs coding for a phosphatase transporter. The mature sequence is excised from the 3' arm of the hairpin. The record is from Rfam. NCBI's taxonomy places the organism in Eukaryota, Viridiplantae, Streptophyta, Magnoliopsida, Malvales, Malvaceae.
GCAAAUAUUACAGGGCAAUAUCUCCAUUGGCAGGCGGCCACUUACACAGGCAUUCCUUGUCCAACUUCAAACUCAAAUGCAUUAAUACAGUGUGCUCUCUGCCAAAGGAGAUUUGCCCGGCAAUUCUUUU